UGACCACUGAGGAGAGGGGAGAGAAUGGGCUGUUAGGCAGGCCUGGAUCUGCUGGCAUGUUCCCAUGUUGGCAGCCAUCCUCAUAACAUUUUCUCAAAGCUGGGCUACUUUACCCCAACAGUUCCUGCACUCUUUCCCACCCCACCCCUGAGAACUGGGGGUUUUAAAUACAAUACUAAUGUAUUUACUGUGGUAAAUAUAGUAUUUUGGUAUUGCAUUUUGGUGUGAUCUCCUUCAAAGGUUAAAUCCCAUCUCCUUACCCACUGGAAUGACAAUUCCAAUCACAGCUGCUGUCACAGUUGAACCGAAGCCUUCAUCAUCAUUUGCAUCUGUAAUUACAGAAGUGUUCUGAUCAUUUAACUCGUUUGCUGCUUUUAAAGGAUGUUUUCUGUUAGUACCCAUGCUGCUCUGCUCAGCAGAAAGCUUUUGCAAUUAAAGAUAUAUAUAAAAGAUAUACAUAUUAUUAUAUGUAAGAUAUAAAUAUUAUAUAUAAAUAUAUAUAUAUAUUAAAGAUAUACAAAAAGUUUCAUAGUAAAAUGACUCUGGCCCCACGGAGCAGUGCACACAGAUGUGGGCUGAGCUGAGCUGCUGCUCCUGAGGAGCGAGGUCCCUGCUGGUGCAGCACUGUCAGAGAAACUCUGACCAGAAAUGGGUGACUGUGCUUGGGCCUCCGAUUUUCAGGCACAAAAAAGGAGGCCAGUUUUAAAAAACCUGACAUUUAAUGGAAAUGGAAUGCAGGGAUCAGGGGAUGGUGAAUAGCAGUCCUAAAAAUCCACAGCAGAACACUUUCUAGUACUGACACAAUUAAUGACUCACUGAGCUGUCAGAAAAAGAGUGUAGUUCAAAGCCAUCUGAACAGUUUCUCUGUUUAAUUUUUCCCUUUUUAUUAUUUACAGCUGAGGAGUUAGUGAACACAUCUAUCCCUCAUUGCUGCAGCCUGCCCAUGCAAGGAUGGUCCCAAAACUCAAUAGUGUACUUAUAAGAGAAAAAAACAAUUGCAGGAAAAUAUAAUUUAAAAAAAUUCAAUAUAACCUUUCAAGUUCUAUACUUUAAAAUGUUUGCUCUGAGCUCUCAUAUAGCUUAUCAGUAGAGAAAAUUUACUUUUUCUAAAAUAUCAGGAGUUGCAAGAGGAGGAACUAACUGUUCUUUUUCUUUUGAUACACCAGUUCAUGCAACUUCUAAAUACUCCCCUGUGGCAGGCUGUUCCAUCACAUAAUUAUUUACUUAAUAACGAGCCAGACUCUCUCCAAAGUGGACAAUAAAAGCACCUUGCUUCCAUGACAUAAUAAAAAGGUAAUUACUGCACUUGAAAGAAACUUGCACAAAGAGAACUGAAUGCAUUUUAGCCUUCGGACUGAGCUUCCUGCACAGCACGGUUCUACAGACAGGGGCGGUGCACUGCUGCUUUCCACACGUCAUGGAAAAAGUGAAACAUUUGUGGUUAUCCUGGGCUGACUUUCUGCCGUUCGUAUCCCAAUUAUCCGUUCUGUUUGUGCUGGUUAUUGAAUUCUGCUCGUUUCAAAGCGGCUCCGGAGCGAAGGGGAGGGACAAAAGAAGCCGCGGUUUGUUUUGAGGAACAGCGCUCACCCCGCCCCGCUCCGGCCUGUGCUGUUUGCUGCACGGACACAGCGUUUAGUUAUUGUUUAGCUGGCUGAGAAAUUCCCCGGACGGUGUUUUCCUUUUUCCUCGGAUCUUUCCAAGCCUGCUCUGGACUGCAAACCCAGACAAAGCCUGGGAGCUCCCAGCUGUGGCUCAGCGGGGCCUGGGCCUCGGCACUUUCCAGCGCCGGAGGGACCGAGAAGAGACUGAGCUGCAGCCCACGGCAAGGACUUUCUGAAUUUGCCGUCUCUUCCAACAGCGAGAGGUGAGCAGCACAGCAGAGCCAUUAAACCAUUGCUCUUGGAAGAAAAUGGAAACAGCCACAACCCAAUUAAGUCAGUAAGACUGGGAAAACACCAUGCCAGAAGGAAUCCAUCUCAGCUCUGGGAUGCUUUUACCUUCCUAGCAGGUAAGUGACCAGCUUGAACAGCUUAGUGGCUAAAAAUGGAUGAAACAUUCAAAAUACCACACAUACCAACACCAGCAUGUUAAAAGCAUAAAGCCUGCUGAAAAGAAAUCCAUUAUUUAUUAGCUCUGUGCCUUUAUCAAGCCAAGCUCAAAGUGCAUUUCAAACCGGAUUCUUCAGAGGUACUUCUCUUGACUGCCUUGUUCAGUAUACUCCAACUUCAGAGGUAGAAAAUGAAUUUUUUUUUUUUCUGUUGAUCAUAUAUUCCCUUUAGCAUAGCAGCUUCUAACCCCCAGGCUGUGACCCCAUCAUGCAGCCUGAGGGCUUUGAACAUUUUUCCCGUUUUUCACUCCUUGUCUUUCUAGUGAAACAGAUCUCUUCUGAGGCACAGUACCAUCCAACAGCUCUUACACCUCCUCUAUGGAUUCUCAAGGAAAAAGCACAGCAGGGGCGUGGAACACAGCUGACCCUGCUGGGCUGAGCACCCAGCCAUGUCAUGUGGGACACAAGUGCUCCUUGUCUGGCACAGCUGCUGCUCACACA
Parus major (Great Tit) is the source of this 2548-nucleotide long non-coding RNA. RefSeq lists it as uncharacterized. The transcript has 3 exons. The record is from RefSeq and is a predicted model, not a curated record. NCBI's taxonomy places the organism in Eukaryota, Metazoa, Chordata, Aves, Passeriformes, Paridae.